AUGAGCUCGGCGGACAUAUUUCUGGCCUAAUUACCAGGGUGCACCCGUAAGCUAAUCGAACGCACCCAUUGUAAACUAUGAUCAAUGCAGGUAACUCUAUGCGCAGUGCAUGUUGCAGUGGGCGUGGUUCAAACUGAAGUGAGUUCACACUCAAGAGCCGGAUAAUUGUUAAUUUGAUUUGCCUGCCAUCACUUGACCAAACACAACUAAAACAUGCAUGACUGGAACUAAAAAUAAACCCAUAUUCACUGUGGUGGAUAAUAAGGUCAGGUAUCGCCCAUGAUUGACUAUAUUUUAUGAGGUAACACGGUUUCAAGGAAGCUCCAUCAGGUUUGGGAGUUAUUUUAUUUUCAUACAUUACAUAUUACAAUAUUGUGGCGGAGUCCUCCCCUAGACUAGCCAAAGUUGUCGUCCGCCUGGGGCAGGCGACUUCCUUCGGGCGAACCUGGGAAGGGGACGUACCCGGAGUAGGGCCUCGGCCGUCCUACGAGCGGUCUAAUAAGAAGGCCGGGGGAGCAGACUCGUUGCCGGGAGGUCUACCACCACUCUCACGCGCUCACCACACACGAACAAAGGGGUUGGAUAGAAAUAACUAACGGAUCAAGCCAAAGGACUCUGGGACAGACCGAUGUACUUAUUUAUUAGACACGUAGGUGCUCCCUAAUUAGGUGUCUGUUCUGCUUCUGGGCAACAUCAACAAUGACCAACAGGGCAGAUUCCUCCUUCUUGCCUCAACUUUAGGGUUCAACUCACCCUGGUACAAGGUUCAGCUCGGCUUCACUCGGUGCAAACCCAGUCACCAGAGCACAAACGCGGAGGUUGGGCUCAAAAAGAGUGGGAAAGUGCGGCACGGCGUCAACAAGGGUGCAACCCGAAAGAGCGCUGGGACGGAAGAGGCAGACCGCACGCAAGCCACGCGGUUAUAGACCCGCGUCGGGUACCAACGCCCAAUGCAAUUUGUACGCAACACGACAAGCUUGAGCAUGGGUACCAGCGUCCAAAAACUUGACUGUCCCGCUAGGCAACUGGCUGCUCAGUAAGUAAAUCGGUCUGAUGAAGAUGUCGUUCAUUUCCACAAUUUCCCACCUCAAUGUUCGAAACAACACAUGCUUCCUGAAAUUGGCCACCAAGGAGGGGCAUUCUGGGAGAAAGGGCAAAGGUCAGAGGUCGAGCAGAAGCAGGAGCAGAAGCCAUGGAGGAAAGAAGCACAGACAAAAAAGCAAAACGAAGGAGACUUAAAGCAGCAGUCUCAUCAUAUCAAGAGACUGGGGAUCCAAGUGAACAUGCUGAACGGGAGAACACCAGAACACCCACCGUGGCUGAUAUGAAAUUGUACCGACAAUUUGAAUAACAUGAAGACUUCUGCCAAGUGACAGUGCUAUUUUAAAAACAUUUCUAACUGGAAAGUAAGCAGACACACAGGCUAAAGUGUUUUGAGGAGUAAUGCAACGUUGCUUAAUGCCCUGUGCCUUUCCUUUAAUACAGACUACUGCUGCAUUACCAAGCACACAAUGGUUAUGGUGUGUGCGCAUGUACAUGUAACUAUGUGAAGAUGGUAGACAAACAUGGCUAACAUGAAUAAGCAAUAAGGACUGAUUACAAAUGCAACUUGAAUGCUAUUAAAUAAAGGAGACAAGUACCUAUAUAUGUACAUGUAUGAUUGUAAAUGCAUGCAGAAGAGAAGUCUUAUCCUUCCAACUUGUCAAAUGUUUUGCUGUAAAUAUACAGUUCUUUACUGUUUUGCUUAGGCACUAUUCAAGACGGCUGGGCACUAUUCAUAGAGUUGCAUACAAUCGAAAGAAGACAAAGUGGGAAAGCUGAAGAUUUGUGAAGAGAUCUACAACAAAUUUAGGAUACAACGAAUGUUUUUACAUGGACCCGGGGAUUUCGUAAUAAUGAGAGUCGACUGUAUUCAAGAAGGCUGAUAUAUCUGAAAAAGGAGGUGCAACUUCUUGUCUGACUUCUUUAGAUUUUUGUGUAAUUCUGACUGCGCGCUAUGCCGAGUCUUGUUUCGCACAGAGAAUUCUUCAUAUGCUGAAUACAUGUAUUUCUAAAGAGAUCUUUGCACUACUAAACUGGGGAUAUGCAUUUGAUUACGGGCUGUACAGGUUGUUGCAAUGUAUGAAUUUUCACCUUCUUUGAAGCAGAGAAAUGUCAACCUUUUUAUUCUACGGAGAUGAAAAUUUAUGGGCCAAAGCAGAUGUCAUCCAUAUAGUACCUUCAUAGCUGUUAACACAAAUGUACAUGUAUAUCAUUUUUCUACAUUUGUUCUUGGAGUUACCGGGUACAAUGUACAUUUAGUGACACUUUUUGAUUAUUAUUUAACCAUGUAUAGCAGCCUGUCUGGACAAUAGAAAUGGCAAAUAUUUCUUCAAAUUUUGUUGGUAGGUAAUUUUUAAGGACAGUCUUCUUGCAUUUUUUUCUUAUACUUUUUUGACAAAAACCUUGUGUGAUAAAAGCAAACUAAUGCCCUGUCAAAAGUAUUGAUAAAAGGAUUUUCGUUGAGUGGAAAAAGUACCGCCUUCUUGUUUAAUAUGUCAAAUGAAAGUAUUUAAAUCUUGCCUGUAUUUUUGUAGCUCAAAAUGAUUUGGGUGAAAAUAAGCUGCGCUGGAUUUUCUCUGCAUGUUUCCUUUAAAGAGAGCUGAAUACAUGUACUAUUUAAGAGAGCUGCACACUAGCUGUAUAUAUUGAGGAGGCGUAUGAACUGUUAGCAUACACAUACAUGUACCAUGCAGUCAAGCAAAGGUGUAUGGGUAAUUCCAGACAU
This is a long non-coding RNA of Acanthaster planci (crown-of-thorns starfish), 2767 nucleotides long. Lineage: Eukaryota; Metazoa; Echinodermata; Asteroidea; Valvatida; Acanthasteridae. The record is from RefSeq and is a predicted model, not a curated record.